CGAUAAGCCAUGGUCAGCCGCAAGCAGGCAAUGACCCAUGGAUUUCCGAAUGCGGAAACGCGGCACGUUAACAGCGUGUCAUCAUGUCAUGAAUAAAUAGUGACAUGAGGGGAACCCGGUGAACUGAAACAUCUAAGUAGCCGGAGGAAGAGAAAGAAACAUCGAUUUCCUUAGUAGCGGCGAGCGAAAGGGAAAGAGCCCAAACCGAGGGUCUACGGACGUUCGGGGUUCGGACUUGCAAAAAUCGAAGUACUUAUAGACGAAGAGGUUUGGAACUUCCUACCAAAGAGGGUAACAGUCCCGUAGUCGAAAUGAGUACAAGAGGGCGAGAAUCCAGAGUACCACAGGACACGAGUAAUCCGGUGGGAAGACGGGGGGCCCACCCCCCAAGGCUAAAUACUACUUGGUGACCGAUAGCGUAUAGUACCGUGAGGGAAAGGUGAAAAGAACCCCGGGAGGGGAGUGAAAGAGUACCUGAAACCCUAUGUUUACAAGCAGUGGGAGCGAGAGCGACCAUGUACUUUUUGUAGAACGGGCCGGCGAGUUACUGUGUGCAGCGAGGUUAAGUUGUUAAGCAACGGAGCCGAAGGGAUACCGAGUCUGAAAAGGGCGUAAAGUUGCAUGCAGUACACCCGAAACCGGGUGACCUAUCCAUGGACAGGAUGAAGCGACGGUAAGACGUCGUGGAGGUCCGAACCACACGUACGUGAAAAGUGCGGGGAUGAGCUGUGGAUAGCGGAGAAAUUCCAAUCGAACUCGGAGAUAGCUGGUUCUCCCCGAAAUAGCUUUAGGGCUAGCCUCGAUUUAGAUUACCGGGGGUAGAGCACUGAAUGGGCUAGGGGGCCACAAAGCUUACCGAACCCUAUCAAACUUCGAAUACCGGAUAAUUGAUGAUCGGGAGUCAGACAGUGUGAGAUAAGUUUCAUUGUCGAAAGGGAAACAGCCCAGAUCUACGACUAAGGUCCCAAAGUUCAAGUUAAGUGGAAAAGGAUGUGCAAUUGCGUAGACAACCAGGAUGUUGGCUUAGUAGCAGCCAUUCAUUCAAAGAGUGCGUAAUAGCUCACUGGUCGAGUGAUUGUGCGCCGAAAAUGUAACGGGGCUAAACUUGACACCGAAGUCUAGGCAGAAGUAAACUUCUGGGUAGGGGAGCAACGUGUACGGGCAGAAGCAGAAGCGGAAGCGACUGUGGACUGUACAGGAGAGAGAAUGCCGGCAUGAGUAGCGAGAGCAAAGUGAGAAUCUUUGCCGUCGAAAGCCUAAGGUUUCCUGAGGAAGGCUCGUCCUCUCAGGGUAAGUCGGGACCUAAGCCGAGGACAAUAGUCGUAGGCGAUGGACAAUCGGUUAAUAUUCCGAUACCGCCGAGCAACCGGAUGCAGUGACACAGAAGGAUAGGCAGAGCGUGGCGAUGGUAGACCACGUCCAAGCAGUGAGGCUGUUGUGUAGUGAAGUACGCACAACGGAAGGCUGGGCUGUGAUGGGGAACGAUUACGAUCGGUAAGCUGCUGAAUUCACGCUGGCGAGAAAAGCUGCUACGAAGCGAAGGCGCCCGUACCGCAAACCGACACAGGUAGGCGAGGAGAGAAUCCUAAGACGAGCGGGAGAACCCAUGUUAAGGAACUCGGCAAAAUGACCCUGUAACUUCGGGAUAAAGGGAGCCACGAGAGUGGCCGCAGAGAAUAGGCCCAAGCGACUGUUUACCAAAAACACAGGUCUGUGCGAAGUAGAGAUACGACGUAUACGGGCUGACACCUGCCCAGUGCCGGAAGGUUAAGGGGAAAUGUUAGGGCAACCGAAGCAUGGAACUUAAGCCCCGGUGAACGGCGGCCGUAACUAUAACGGUCCUAAGGUAGCGAAAUUCCUUGUCGGGUAAGUUCCGACCCGCACGAAUGGCGUAACGACUUGGGCACUGUCUCAACAUGGGACCCGGCGAAAUUGUAGUAUGUGUGAAGAUGCACAUUACCCGCGAUAGGACGGAAAGACCCCGUAGAGCUUUACUGCAACUUGGCAUUGGAUUUUGGUAUUAGAUGUACAGGAUAGGUGGGAGACUAAGAAGCGAUGACGCCAGUUGUCGCAGAGUCACUGUUGGGAUACCACCCUUCUAAUACUAGGAUUCUAACGAUAGGCCGUUAGCCGGCUAUCGGACAGUACCAGGUG
This 2154-nucleotide ribosomal RNA is filed under the name human gut metagenome. Its description in RNAcentral is "bacterial LSU rRNA". It matches the Rfam family "Bacterial large subunit ribosomal RNA", at positions 69 to 2263 of the family's 2925-position model. The record is from RNAcentral.